Long non-coding RNA from Etheostoma spectabile (orangethroat darter), 67 nucleotides. RefSeq lists it as uncharacterized. The record is from RefSeq and is a predicted model, not a curated record. The transcript is spliced from 3 exons. Lineage: Eukaryota; Metazoa; Chordata; Actinopteri; Perciformes; Percidae.
AAUCCCCGUUAAGAUCGGCGGACCAGCUACUCCUUGUUGUCCCUAGAACGCGGCUCUAAAAUAGGGG